AUUAAACGCUGGCGGCAUGCCUUACACAUGCAAGUCGAACGGCAGCACGGGGGCAACCCUGGUGGCGAGUGGCGGACGGGUGAGUAAUGCAUCGGAACGUGCCAUUGAGUGGGGGAUAACGUAGCGAAAGUUGCGCUAAUACCGCAUAUUCUGUGAGCAGGAAAGCAGGGGACCGCAAGGCCUUGCGCUCUUUGAGCGGCCGAUGUCAGAUUAGCUAGUUGGUGAGGUAACGGCUUACCAAGGCGACGAUCUGUAGCGGGUCUGAGAGGAUGAUCCGCCACACUGGAACUGAGACACGGUCCAGACUCCUACGGGAGGCAGCAGUGGGGAAUUUUGGACAAUGGGCGCAAGCCUGAUCCAGCCAUGCCGCGUGAGUGAAGAAGGCC
RNAcentral lists this ribosomal RNA (386 nucleotides) under uncultured bacterium. RNAcentral describes it as "bacterial SSU rRNA". It matches the Rfam family "Bacterial small subunit ribosomal RNA", at positions 30 to 416 of the family's 1533-position model. The record is from RNAcentral.